This 21-nucleotide non-coding RNA is filed under the name Caenorhabditis elegans. The record is from RNAcentral. Lineage: Eukaryota; Metazoa; Nematoda; Chromadorea; Rhabditida; Rhabditidae.
UGGAACAUCAUUUCUCGACCA